RNAcentral lists this ribosomal RNA (94 nucleotides) under Clostridium ganghwense. RNAcentral describes it as "partial 16S ribosomal RNA". It matches the Rfam family "Bacterial small subunit ribosomal RNA", at positions 1440 to 1533 of the family's 1533-position model. The record is from RNAcentral. Lineage: Bacteria; Bacillati; Bacillota; Clostridia; Eubacteriales; Clostridiaceae.
CUUUUGGAGCCAGCGGUCGAAGGUGGGAUUGAUGAUUGGGGUGAAGUCGUAACAAGGUAGCCGUAGGAGAACCUGCGGCUGGAUCACCUCCUUU